Molecule: ribosomal RNA, 588 nt
Filed under: Purpureocillium lilacinum
Lineage: Eukaryota; Fungi; Ascomycota; Sordariomycetes; Hypocreales; Ophiocordycipitaceae
Description: eukaryotic LSU rRNA
Rfam family: 5.8S ribosomal RNA (bases 243-396)
Source: RNAcentral
GAAGUAAAAGUCGUAACAAGGUCUCCGUUGGUGAACCAGCGGAGGGAUCAUUACCGAGUUAUACAACUCCCAAACCCACUGUGAACCUUACCUCAGUUGCCUCGGCGGGAACGCCCCGGCCGCCUGCCCCCGCGCCGGCGCCGGACCCAGGCGCCCGCCGCAGGGACCCCAAACUCUCUUGCAUUACGCCCAGCGGGCGGAAUUUCUUCUCUGAGUUGCACAAGCAAAAACAAAUGAAUCAAAACUUUCAACAACGGAUCUCUUGGUUCUGGCAUCGAUGAAGAACGCAGCGAAAUGCGAUAAGUAAUGUGAAUUGCAGAAUUCAGUGAAUCAUCGAAUCUUUGAACGCACAUUGCGCCCGCCAGCAUUCUGGCGGGCAUGCCUGUUCGAGCGUCAUUUCAACCCUCGAGCCCCCCCGGGGGCCUCGGUGUUGGGGGACGGCACACCAGCCGCCCCCGAAAUGCAGUGGCGACCCCGCCGCAGCCUCCCCUGCGUAGUAGCACACACCUCGCACCGGAGCGCGGAGGCGGUCACGCCGUAAAACGCCCAACUUUCUUAGAGUUGACCUCGGAUCAGGUAGGAAUACCC